AUGCACAAAGGUAGAUUUAAAACUACUCAAGAUCGGUUGCGGAAGAGGCUUGUGGAUUGGAGCGAACAGUAUAUGUCCUCGGGCAAUAAAGAGGUUCUCAUCAAAGCCGUUGCCCAGGUCAUUCCUACUUAUGUGAUGAGCGUGUUCAAGCUUCCAGCAUCGGUUUGCGACGAACUCACGCGUAUGAUCCGCCAAUAUUGGUGGGGUGUUGAGAAGGGAAAAAGGAAGAUGGCAUGGAUGAGUUGGGAUAAGCUGAGGCUCCCUAAGUCCAUGGGGGGCAUGGGUUUCCGUGACACGAGAUCGUUUAACCAAGCCUUGUUAGCCAAACAAGCGUGGAGGCUUCUGGAUUCUCCCGAAAGCUUAUGCUCAAGAUUGUUAAAGGCUAAGUACUUCCCACAUGGCCAGUUAUUGGACACUGUUUUCCCCAAUAGUGGUUCGAAGGUGUGGAAGGGAAUUCUACACGGGCUUGAGCUGGUUAAGAAAGGGACAAUUUGGCGUGUGGGAGAUGGUGCAUCGAUUCGUACGUGGAGGGAUCCUUGGAUCCCGAGACCUGACUCGUUCAGACCAAUUACUCCCAAAGGUAACUGCCGACUAAACCGUGUGUCGGAUUUCCUGGAUAUAAACGGGGCUUGGCGUGUGGACAGACUGAAUGAGUCUUUCUGGCCUAUGGAUGUGGUGCAUAUCCUGAAGAUUAGAACACCCCCCCGGCAGCGCAGUGAUUUUCUGUCCUGGUUCCCGGAAAAAAGCGGUCUAUUUUCGGUAAGGAGUGCUUACAGACUUGCAACCUAG
This 789-nucleotide ribosomal RNA is filed under the name Triticum aestivum (bread wheat). RNAcentral's name for it is "partial small subunit ribosomal RNA". Lineage: Eukaryota; Viridiplantae; Streptophyta; Magnoliopsida; Poales; Poaceae. The record is from RNAcentral.